This is a long non-coding RNA of Ornithodoros turicata, 418 nucleotides long. RefSeq lists it as uncharacterized. The transcript is spliced from 3 exons. The record is from RefSeq and is a predicted model, not a curated record. NCBI's taxonomy places the organism in Eukaryota, Metazoa, Arthropoda, Arachnida, Ixodida, Argasidae.
GGAACAAUGAGCAGCAGCUGCUGUUGACAGAGCUGAAAAACCAAGCUCUGUGCCUCGCUGGCGAUGGCCGUGCAGAUUCCCCGGGACAUUCUGCAGAUUUCGGCACGUACUCACUUAUGGACACUGCAGCUAACCGUAUUAUUUAUCUGGAGCUGGUGAAGUCUACUGAGGUUACCUCCAGCAAUAAAAUGGAAAAGGAAGGGCUACAAAGAGCUCUCAACUACCUACAGGACCAGGGCAUGACCGUGAAAACACUCAUCACUGACAGGCACACUGAAAUUAAAGCCUUUAUGAAGGCUUCACACCCAGAAGUGCAGCACCGUUUUGAUGUCUGGCACGUAGCCAAAGGCAUACGUAAGAAAAUCAGUGCUGUGUCACGCACAAAGCAGCAUCAGGUAUUGCAGAUGUGGUCCCCAAC